UGUAGGCGCAGCGAAAGCGAGUCUUAAUAGGGCGCAUGAGUUAGAUGGAUCAGACCCGAAACCGAGUGAUCUAGGCAUGACCAGGAUGAAGGUAAGGUAACACUUACUGGAGGUCCGAACCCACACCUGUUGAAAAAGGUCGGGAUGAGUUGUGCCUAGGGGUGAAAGGCCAAUCAAACUCGGAGAUAGCUGGUUCUCUGCGAAAUCUAUUUAGGUAGAGCGUCGACCGAAUACCCUCGGGGGUAGAGCACUGGAUGGGCUAUGGGGACUCACCGUCUUACUGAUCCUAACCAAACUCCGAAUACCGAGGAGUACUAGUCGGCAGACACACGGCGGGUGCUAACGUCCGUCGUGAAGAGGGAAACAACCCUGACCUCCAGCUAAGGUCCCCAAGUCAUGGCUAAGUGGGAAAGGAUGUGAGAAUCCCAAAACAACCAGGAUGUUGGCUUAGAAGCAGCCAUCAUUUAAAGAAAGCGUAACAGCUCACUGGUCUA
RNAcentral lists this ribosomal RNA (494 nucleotides) under Pseudo-nitzschia fraudulenta. RNAcentral's name for it is "partial Bacterial large subunit ribosomal RNA". It matches the Rfam family "Bacterial large subunit ribosomal RNA", at positions 661 to 1152 of the family's 2925-position model. Lineage: Eukaryota; Bacillariophyta; Bacillariophyceae; Bacillariales; Bacillariaceae. The record is from RNAcentral.